GUAUUUAUUUGGCAGGGGGGAUACCAUGAUCACGAAGGUGGUUUUUCUUAAGGCUAGGUUUUCCGUUGCACUUUGGAUGUGUGCAUUGGUCCCUGUGGUUUACCGCAAAUGUGGGAAACUCGACUGCGUAAUUUGUGGUAGUGGGGGACUGCGUUCGCGCUUUCUUCUG
Papio anubis (olive baboon) is the source of this 169-nucleotide small nuclear RNA. Its record names the gene U1. It matches the Rfam family "U1 spliceosomal RNA". From Rfam's summary of the family: U1 is a small nuclear RNA (snRNA) component of the spliceosome (involved in pre-mRNA splicing). Its 5' end forms complementary base pairs with the 5' splice junction, thus defining the 5' donor site of an intron. NCBI's taxonomy places the organism in Eukaryota, Metazoa, Chordata, Mammalia, Primates, Cercopithecidae. The record is from Ensembl.